RNAcentral lists this transfer RNA (77 nucleotides) under Christensenellaceae bacterium. RNAcentral describes it as "tRNA-Pro". It matches the Rfam family "tRNA". Rfam says of the family: Transfer RNA (tRNA) molecules are approximately 80 nucleotides in length. Their secondary structure includes four short double-helical elements and three loops (D, anti-codon, and T loops). Further hydrogen bonds mediate the characteristic L-shaped molecular structure. tRNAs have two regions of fundamental functional importance: the anti-codon, which is responsible for specific mRNA codon recognition, and the 3' end, to which the tRNAs corresponding amino acid is attached (by aminoacyl-tRNA synthetases). tRNAs cope with the degeneracy of the genetic code in two manners: having more than one tRNA (with a specific anti-codon) for a particular amino acid; and 'wobble' base-pairing, i.e. permitting non-standard base-pairing at the 3rd anti-codon position. The record is from RNAcentral. Lineage: Bacteria; Bacillati; Bacillota; Clostridia; Christensenellales; Christensenellaceae.
CGGAGCGUAGAGUAGCGGUCUAUCUCGCAAGUCUGGGGGACUUGAAAUCGCCUGUUCAAAUCAGGUCGCUCCGACCA